GACGAACGCUGGCGGCGUGCUUAACACAUGCAAGUCGAACGGAAAGGCCCUGCUUUUGUGGGGUGCUCGAGUGGCGAACGGGUGAGUAACACGUGAGUAACCUGCCCUUGACUUUGGGAUAACUUCAGGAAACUGGGGCUAAUACCGGAUAGGAGCUCCUGCUGCAUGGUGGGGGUUGGAAAGUUUCGGCGGUUGGGGAUGGACUCGCGGCUUAUCAGCUUGUUGGUGGGGGAGUGGCUUACCAAGGCUUUGACGGGUAGCCGGCCUGAGAGGGUGACCGGCCACAUUGGGACUGAGAGACGGCGCAGACUCCUACGGGAGGCAGCAGUGGGGAAUAUGGCACAGUGGGCGGAAGCCGGAUGCAGCAACGCCGCGGGCGGGAUGACGGCCUUCGGGGUGUAAACCGCUUUCGCCUGUGACGAAGCGGGAGUGACGGUAAUGGGUAAAGAAGCACCGGCUAACUACGUG
This 468-nucleotide ribosomal RNA is filed under the name uncultured bacterium. RNAcentral's name for it is "partial 16S ribosomal RNA". It matches the Rfam family "Bacterial small subunit ribosomal RNA", at positions 28 to 507 of the family's 1533-position model. The record is from RNAcentral.